AUUGAACGCUGGCGGAAUGCUUUACACAUGCAAGUCGAACGGCAGCACGGACUUCGGUCUGGUGGCGAGUGGCGAACGGGUGAGUAAUGUAUCGGAACGUGCCCAGUCGUGGGGGAUAACGUAGCGAAAGCUACGCUAAUACCGCAUACGAUCUAAGGAUGAAAGCGGGGGAUCGCAAGACCUCGCGCGAUUGGAGCGGCCGAUGGCAGAUUAGGUAGUUGGUAGGGUAAAGGCCUACCAAGCCGACGAUCUGUAGCUGGUCUGAGAGGAUGAUCAGCCACACUGGGACUGAGACACGGCCCAGACUCCUACGGGAGGCAGCAGUGGGGAAUUUUGGACAAUGGACGCAAGUCUGAUCCAGCCAUUCCGCGUGCAGGAUGAAGGCCCUCGGGUUGUAAACUGCUUUUGUACAGAACGAAAAGGUUUCUACUAAUACUAGGAGCUCAUGACGGUACUGUAAGAAUAAGCACCGGCUAACUACGUGCCAGCCGCCGCGGUAA
This 500-nucleotide ribosomal RNA is filed under the name uncultured bacterium. RNAcentral's name for it is "partial 16S ribosomal RNA". It matches the Rfam family "Bacterial small subunit ribosomal RNA", at positions 30 to 523 of the family's 1533-position model. The record is from RNAcentral.